Molecule: ribosomal RNA, 209 nt
Filed under: uncultured bacterium
Lineage: Bacteria
Description: partial 16S ribosomal RNA
Rfam family: Bacterial small subunit ribosomal RNA
Source: RNAcentral
UAAUACAGAGGGGGCAAGCGUUAUUCGGAAUUAUUGGGCGUAAAGGGCGCGUAGGCGGCUUUUCAAGUGACGGGUGAAAUCCCUCGGCUUAACCGAGGAACUGCCUGUCAGACUGGAAGGCUUGAGACCGGGAGAGGUGAGUGGAAUUCCCAGUGUAGCGGUGAAAUGCGUAGAUAUUGGGAGGAACACCAGUGGCGAAGGCGGCUCAC